AUAUACCAACCGAUUGUGCUUCGGCGUUAUGUAAGCAAUGGAAUAUAGAGAGAUAAGGUAUAUGUCAAGUUGAGAUUCAAGUCGAACAACUGUCAAGUCUAAGUCGUAUACAUUGGCUAUGAUAUUGAUAGCGUGCUAUGGUGAACAUUGAUGGGAAAGUCAACCCUUUGGAACCCUAAAAUCUUUGAUCUGAAGUCGACAAACUUCACGUUCACAAAUUAUGCAGCUUAACCAACAAAUUACUUGAGGAGGUGGAGGCCCUUUAUUCGAGCCUGGCCUACAGCUUAACCUAGAAAGUGACAUAACCAAGAUUUCUCCAAAAGCAAAAGAAAACCAAAAAAUUUGCAUACUGCUCUGUUUUUCUUCAAGCGUAGCCUUGAUCAUAAGCUAAGAUCGGAGAAGCAGACGAAUUGGUAAGCUGAAGGUGCCAUGGCGAUGGAGAUACUCACUGCAAUUAUUCCUACAAUAAUUGACUACACAGUUAGACCACUUGGACGGCAAGUGAGUUAUGUCAUUUUCUACAACAGCAACCUUAAAGAUCUAAGGAGUACAUUGAAGAAUUUUGAUGCUGUGAAACAAAGGAUGAACCAUGCAGUUGAAGAAGUCGAAAGAAAAGUUAAUGAAAAAGUGGAAGUUGAUGUCCGGAACUGGCAGACAGAAGCAGAUGAGAUCUCUCGAGAGGCAG
This is a non-coding RNA of Malus domestica (apple), 685 nucleotides long. Lineage: Eukaryota; Viridiplantae; Streptophyta; Magnoliopsida; Rosales; Rosaceae. The record is from RefSeq and is a predicted model, not a curated record.